This 278-nucleotide ribosomal RNA is filed under the name uncultured bacterium. RNAcentral describes it as "partial 16S ribosomal RNA". It matches the Rfam family "Bacterial small subunit ribosomal RNA", at positions 399 to 691 of the family's 1533-position model. The record is from RNAcentral.
GCGUGGAGGACGAAGGUUUUCGGAUCGUAAACUCCUGUCCGGAGGGAAGAAGGCAGUGACGGUACCUCCGGAGGAAGCCCCGGCUAACUCCGUGCCAGCAGCCGCGGUAAUACGGGGGGGGCAAGCGUUGUUCGGAAUUACUGGGCGUAAAGGGCGCGUAGGCGGCCUCGGAAGUCAUGGGUGAAAGCUCCCGGCUCAACCGGGAAAGGGCCUGUGAAACCACGGGGCUGGAGUGCUGGAGAGGAAAGCGGAAUUCCCAGUGUAGCGGUGAAAUGCGU